UAGCUUUAGUGGCAAACGGGUGAGUAACACGUAAGAAUCUACCUCCAGGAGGGAAAUAACAUUUGGAAACGAUUGCUAAUAUCCCAUAUGCUGAAAAGUGAAAUGAAUUUUGCCUGGAGAUGAGCUUGCGCCUGAUUAGCUAGUUGGUAAGGUAAUGGCUUACCAAGGCUACGAUCAGUAGCUGGUUUGAGAGGAUGAUCAGCCACACUGGAACUGAGACACGGUCCAGACUUCUACGGAAGGCAGCAGUGGGGAAUUUUCCGCAAUGGGCGAAAGCCUGACGGAGCAAUACCGCGUGAGGGACGAAUGCCUGUGGGUUGUAAACCUCUUUUAUUGGGGAAGAAUUUUGGCGGUACCUAAUAAAUAAGCAUCGGCUA
This 377-nucleotide ribosomal RNA is filed under the name uncultured cyanobacterium. RNAcentral describes it as "bacterial SSU rRNA". It matches the Rfam family "Bacterial small subunit ribosomal RNA", at positions 87 to 499 of the family's 1533-position model. Lineage: Bacteria; Bacillati; Cyanobacteriota. The record is from RNAcentral.